Molecule: non-coding RNA, 72 nt
Organism: Protobothrops mucrosquamatus (brown spotted pit viper)
Lineage: Eukaryota; Metazoa; Chordata; Lepidosauria; Squamata; Viperidae
Source: the annotation of a RefSeq genome assembly
GGUUCCAUGGUGUAAUGGUGAGCACUCUGGACUCUGCAUCCAGCAGUCUGAGUUCGAAUCUCAGUGGGACCU